GACGAACGCUGGCGGCGUGCUUAACACAUGCAAGUCGAACGGAAAGGCCCUGCUUUUGUGGGGUGCUCGAGUGGCGAACGGGUGAGUAACACGUGAGUAACCUGCCCUUGACUUUGGGAUAACUUCAGGAAACUGGGGCUAAUACCGGAUAGGAGCUCCUGCUGCAUGGUGGGGGUUGGAAAGUUUCGGCGGUUGUGGAUGGACUCGCGGCUUAUCAGCUUGUUGGUGGGGUAGUGGCUUACCAAGGCUUUGACGGGUAGCCGGCAUGAGAGGGUGACCGGCCACAUUGGGACUGAGAUACGGCCCAGACUCCUACGGGAGGCAGCAGUGGGGAAUAUUGCACAAUGGGCGGAAGCCUGAUGCAGCAACGCCGCGUGCGGGAUGACGGCCUUCGGGUUGUAAACCGCUUUCGCCUGUGACGAAGCGUGAGUGACGGUAAUGGGUAAAGAAGCACCGGCUAACUACGUG
This 468-nucleotide ribosomal RNA is filed under the name uncultured bacterium. Its description in RNAcentral is "partial 16S ribosomal RNA". It matches the Rfam family "Bacterial small subunit ribosomal RNA", at positions 28 to 507 of the family's 1533-position model. The record is from RNAcentral.